RNAcentral lists this ribosomal RNA (450 nucleotides) under uncultured Glomeromycotina. Its description in RNAcentral is "SSU rRNA". It matches the Rfam family "Eukaryotic small subunit ribosomal RNA", at positions 569 to 1023 of the family's 1831-position model. Lineage: Eukaryota; Fungi; Glomeromycota. The record is from RNAcentral.
AGCAGCCGCGGUAAUUCCAGCUCCAAUAGCGUAUAUUAAAGUUGUUGCAGUUAAAAAGCUCGUAGUUGAAUUUCGGGAUCAGUACGCUGGUCGUGCCUUCGGUAUGUACUGGUGUUACUGGUUCCUCCUUCCUGAUGAACCGUAAUGCCACUAAUUUGGUGUUGCGGGGAGACUGGACUGUUACUUUGAAAAAAUUAGAGUGUUUAAAGCAAGCUAACGCUUGAAUACAUUAGCAUGGAAUAAUGAAAUAGGACGUUCGAUCUUAUUUUGUUGGCUUCUAGGAUUGACGUAAUGAUUAAUAGGGAUAGUUGGGGGCAUUAGUAUUCAAUUGUCAGAGGUGAAAUUCUUGGAUUUAUUGAAGACUAACUACUGCGAAAGCAUUUGCCAAGGAUGUUUUCAUUAAUCAAGAACGAAAGUUAGGGGAUCGAAGACGAUCAGAUACCGUCGUAG